AUUUCUCUUGGUGACAGUCAUAGCCAUUACUAAGAGCAUUGUGAUGGUGGCGGUAUUAACAGUUGUUACCCUUUGCGUUCUUCCAGAGCAUGUGAGCACUUCUGUUCCUCAGAGAUCUAGGAAGCAAAUACGCCAGUCUGAAGUUUUUGCUUAUUCCAUAUGUAAUGAGGGUUUAGUGACUGAAGUGUUAAACAUUUCAUAGUCUAAGCUGGGCUCCAGUGGCUUCCUUGUAACAAUCCUAGCCACUCAGGAGGCUAGGAUCUGCAAAUUGCCAUUCAAAGCCAGGAGAGUUGCUGAGACUUUCAUACCUUAUUUAAAAGUUACUAUCUUACUAUCUUUUAUUUAACAUCCCCCCUCCCCCCAAAAAAGCCAAGUUCUAAGUGAAGCUGUGGCUCAAGUGGUAGAGUGCUAUACUUG
Molecule: long non-coding RNA, 417 nt
Organism: Perognathus longimembris pacificus (Pacific pocket mouse)
Lineage: Eukaryota; Metazoa; Chordata; Mammalia; Rodentia; Heteromyidae
Exons: 3
Source: RefSeq, a predicted model, not a curated record